This 415-nucleotide ribosomal RNA is filed under the name uncultured bacterium. RNAcentral's name for it is "bacterial SSU rRNA". It matches the Rfam family "Bacterial small subunit ribosomal RNA", at positions 355 to 775 of the family's 1533-position model. The record is from RNAcentral.
UGAGGAAUUUUGCGCAAUGGGGGAAACCCUGACGCAGCGACGCCGCGUGGAGGAUGAAGGCCUUCGGGUCGUAAACUCCUGUCAGAGGUGAAGAAUACCCGCAAGGGUUUGACGGUGACCUCAGAGGAAGCCCCGGCUAACUACGUGCCAGCAGCCGCGGUAAUACGUAGGGGGCAAACGUUACUCGGAAUUACUGGGCGUAAAGGGUGCGUAGGCGGCUGGGAAAGUCAAGGAUGAAAUCCCGUGGCUCAACUGCGGAACGGUCCUUGAAACUACUCGGCUUGAGGAUAACCGAAGAGAACGGAAUUCCCGGUGGAGCGGUGAAAUGCGUAGAUAUCGGGAGGAACACCUGAGGCGAUAGCGGUUCUCUAGACUACUCCUGACGCUGAGGCACGAAAGCUAGGGGAGCAAACGG